UGGCGGACUGGUGAGUAACGCGUGAGGAACCUGCCUUUCAGAGGGGGACAACAGUUGGAAACGACUGCUAAUACCGCAUGACGCAUUUUGAUCGCAUGGUCGAAAUGCCAAAGAUUUAUCGCUGAAAGAUGGCCUCGCGUCUGAUUAGCUAGUUGGUGAGGUAACGGCCCACCAAGGCGACGAUCAGUAGCCGGACUGAGAGGUUGACCGGCCACAUUGGGACUGAGAUACGGCCCAGACUCCUACGGGAGGCAGCAGUGGGGAAUAUUGGGCAAUGGGCGCAAGCCUGACCCAGCAACGCCGCGUGAAGGAAGAAGGCUUUCGGGUUGUAAACUUCUUUUAAGUGGGAAGAGUAGAAGACGGUACCACUUGAAUAAGCCACGG
This 384-nucleotide ribosomal RNA is filed under the name uncultured bacterium. RNAcentral describes it as "bacterial SSU rRNA". It matches the Rfam family "Bacterial small subunit ribosomal RNA", at positions 96 to 496 of the family's 1533-position model. The record is from RNAcentral.